This 461-nucleotide long non-coding RNA is filed under the name Chinchilla lanigera (long-tailed chinchilla). RNAcentral describes it as "lncRNA (ENSCLAG00000028970.1)". The record is from RNAcentral. Lineage: Eukaryota; Metazoa; Chordata; Mammalia; Rodentia; Chinchillidae.
CGCUGAGAGCCGACCCUCCUCCUGGACAGGGCGGGCACUUGCAGGUCCAAACUGGAAGGGCCAGGAACCUUGCAGCGGCGAUGGCGUGUGACUCGGCUAGACCUCCGCCGACAGUCCCAGAGCAUUCCAGCAGGUCAGACGUGAGAAGGGGAGCUGUGUGUAGCUCCGGGCCAGCACUGGAAGAAGUCCGACUGUCUUCCCAGGGGCGUGUGCUUGGGGACGGGACCCACCCCCUCCCCAGGCUGGUCGUCCGCCACAAGGCCGCCUCAGGACGUGGCGGAGGGCGCCGGGCUCAGUGUUGGAAAGGAAGAUAGCGGGGCCGCUCCCUUCGGCGUUGUGGGCCCUGGAGUGGAGGUGCCGGCGACGGGAGACGCCCGGGCCGCGUGGCUGCCCAAGCAGGAGCCCGACAGCCCGCCGCCCGCUGCCCCGGGCACCCCCGGGGUCCCCUGCCCCGAGUGCGG